Molecule: long non-coding RNA, 406 nt
Organism: Lutra lutra (Eurasian river otter)
Lineage: Eukaryota; Metazoa; Chordata; Mammalia; Carnivora; Mustelidae
Exons: 3
Source: RefSeq, a predicted model, not a curated record
GCUUGCUUUUGAAGUUGGAGAAAGGGAAGUGGUAAACCUGACAGCGGAAGGGAUCCCAGGAAGUGAGUCGAAGGAGUCUACAGGACCAAGGGAAAGUAGCCAUGAAAAGGUCCCAAGAUUCCCCUGCUGGACCGUACUCCAGGAUCUGAUAACUUAGCAAGAUUGAAACCUUUAUGUGUGAAAGUUGGGUGUAUAAAACAAGCCAGCAAUUGGAGCGGCUGGCGUUCCUCUGGAGAAGCUGGGAACUUUGAUAUCUCCAGUGAGCCGGAUAACGAAGAUUUCCACCUGCUAUCCGGGGGGAUCGCGCACCGGCUAUUCCAAGGGAAAUGCGCUACAGGAAGAGUGGGGGGCAGGGCAGGGACAGUCCUCAGCAGCCUUGUUAUUUCAAGUAGAUUUUCCUUCCUGC